RNAcentral lists this ribosomal RNA (515 nucleotides) under uncultured bacterium. RNAcentral describes it as "partial 16S ribosomal RNA". It matches the Rfam family "Bacterial small subunit ribosomal RNA", at positions 28 to 523 of the family's 1533-position model. The record is from RNAcentral.
GAUGAACGCUGGCGGCGUGCCUAAUACAUGCAAGUCGAGCGAGUGGAUUAAGAGCUUGCUCUUAUGAAGUUAGCGGCGGACGGGUGAGUAACACGUGAGUAACCUGCCCAUAAGACUGGGAUAACUCCGGGAAACCGGGGCUAAUACCGGAUAACAUUUUGAACCGCAUGGUUCGAAAUUGAAAGGCGGCUUCGGCUGUCACUUAUGGAUGAACCCGCGUCGCAUUAGCUAGUUGGUGAGGUAACGGCUCACCAAGGCAACGAUGCGUAGCCGACCUGAGAGGGUGAUCGGCCACACUGGGACUGAGACACGGCCCAGACUCCUACGGGAGGCAGCAGUAGGGAAUCUUCCGCAAUGGACGAAAGUCUGACGGAGCAACGCCGCGUGAGUGAUGAAGGCUUUCGGGUCGUAAAACUCUGUUGUUAGGGAAGAACAAGUGCUAGUUGAAUAAGCUGGCACCUUGACGGUACCUAACCAGAAAGCCACGGCUAACUACGUGCCAGCCGCCGCGGUAA